This 245-nucleotide ribosomal RNA is filed under the name uncultured bacterium. RNAcentral describes it as "partial 16S ribosomal RNA". It matches the Rfam family "Bacterial small subunit ribosomal RNA", at positions 524 to 768 of the family's 1533-position model. The record is from RNAcentral.
GACAGAGGUGCCGAGCGUUAGGCGGAAUCACUGGGCUUAAAGCGUGUGUAGGCGGGUCGUUAAGUGUCUUGUGAAAUCCCCCGGCUCAACCGGGGAAUGGCUGGGCAUACUGGCGAUCUUGAGCAGUCUAGGGGCAGAUGGAACAGACGGUGGAGCGGUGAAAUGCGUAGAUAUCGUCUGGAACGCCAAAGGUGAAAACAGUCUGCUGGGGACUUGCUGACGCUGAGACACGAAAGCCAGGGGAG